Non-coding RNA from Struthio camelus australis, 882 nucleotides. The record is from RefSeq and is a predicted model, not a curated record. NCBI's taxonomy places the organism in Eukaryota, Metazoa, Chordata, Aves, Struthioniformes, Struthionidae.
CAGUUUGAAAUAAUUGAAAUUAAUAUCAUCUUGGAGAUUAUAGUAUGUUUAAGCAAACAUUUGUCAUUAAUCACAACAGUUGACAAGUCCACAACAACUGAAAACGUCGAUAAUCAAGCAAUAAUGUCAUGAUUCAUUGUUCUCCCAUUGUUCUAUUUUAGAACUGGGUAGAAAAAGCAGAAAAACAGAAACUAUUGUCAGACACCCUUGACCUCUCAGACCUGUUUCAUCCAGAAACCUUUCUCAAUGCCUUACGCCAGGAGACUGCAAGAGUAAUGAGCUGUUCUGUGGACAGCCUUAAAUUUACAGCUUCAUGGAAAGGGCGAAUACAGGAAGGCAAACUCCAAGUUAAGAUCAGUGGCUUGCAACUGGAAGGCUGCAGUUUUGAUGGAAAUCGACUUUCAGAAAAUCUACAUGAUUCUCCCAGUGUGUCAUCUGUAUUCCCUUGUUACAUGGCCUGGAUUCCACAGGAUGCAUGUGGUCCAUAUUCUCCAGAGGAAUGCAUAUCUUUACCAGUCUACACUAGUGUGGAGAGAGACCAUGUGGUGGCAAAUAUUGAUGUGCCAUGUGGAGGAAACCAAGACCAGUGGAUUCAAUGUGGAGCUGCUUUAUUUUUAAAAAAUCAGUAAACUACAACUGUAUUAAAUUAACUCUUUAAGUUAAGAAUCAUUUAAACAUGUCAAUUGUUUCUUAAUAAACAACUUUAGUCUCAUUACUUAUUAUAUAGUUUUAAAGAAAUUGUUUAUACAUUCCCAUUUUUUUAUUUUUUUAAAGUAUAUAAAAUUAAUUUUACUUAAAUUGGAACUUCAUUGUAUCUUUAUGAGAUGUUGUAAAAGUUAACAUGGCGCUAUUCAGAAAACUGUUAAUUUUGGCUUUUUCUCU